GGAAGAAUUUGUCAAGUCUUUAGCCGACUCCCUGUGCAAGUAUCCAGAGGAGCUGGUUUCAAGUACCUUGGCUGGAGCACUAUUGAGUCGUCCUCUGCUACUGCAUCCAGCAGCUGCAACCCAUCUUAUGCCCAAGCUGCUCAUACCUCAGUCAAGCUCAGAAAAAGAAGGGGAAUCUGGACUGUUUUCCCCAGAGGUCUUCCGUCGGGACAUUAUCCCACAGGUGGUGAGGCUCUACAGCGUCCAUGAUGCUACCGUGAGAAACAUUCUCCUCACUU
Long non-coding RNA from Penaeus monodon (black tiger shrimp), 278 nucleotides. RefSeq lists it as uncharacterized. The record is from RefSeq and is a predicted model, not a curated record. NCBI's taxonomy places the organism in Eukaryota, Metazoa, Arthropoda, Malacostraca, Decapoda, Penaeidae. The transcript is spliced from 3 exons.